RNAcentral lists this ribosomal RNA (459 nucleotides) under uncultured bacterium. RNAcentral's name for it is "partial 16S ribosomal RNA". It matches the Rfam family "Bacterial small subunit ribosomal RNA", at positions 338 to 795 of the family's 1533-position model. The record is from RNAcentral.
CCUACGGUGUGCAGCAGUGAGGAAUAUUGGUCAAUGGCCGGGAGGCUGAACCAGCCAAGUCGCGUGAGGGAAGACGGCCCUACGGGUUGUAAACCUCUUUUGUCAGGGAGCAAGGUGCAGGUCGGGACCUGCUGUGAGAGUACCUGAAGAAAAAGCAUCGGCUAACUCCGUGCCAGCAGCCGCGGUAAUACGGAGGAUGCGAGCGUUAUCCGGAUUUAUUGGGGUUAAAGGGUGCGCAGGCGGCCUGUUAAGUCAGCGGUAAAAGCCCGGGGCUCAACCCCGGCGAGCCGUUGAAACUGGCGGGCUGGAGUUGGAGAGAAGUACGCGGAAUGCGCGGUGUAGCGGUGAAAUGCUUAGAGAUCGCGCAGAACCCCGAUUGCGAAGGCAGCGUACCGGCUCCACACUGACGCUGAGGCACGAAAGCGUGGGUAUCGAACAGGAUUAGAUACCCUUGUAGUC